GUAGGUGGCAAGCGUUGUCCGGAAUUAUUGGGCGUAAAGCGCGCGCAGGCGGUUCUUUAAGUCUGAUGUGAAAGCCCACGGCUCAACCGUGGAGGGUCAUUGGAAACUGGAGAACUUGAGUACAGAAGAGGAAAGCGGAAUUCCACGUGUAGCGGUGAAAUGCGUAGAGAUGUGGAGGAACACCAGUGGCGAAGGCGGCUUUCUGGUCUGUAACUGACGCUGAGGCGCGAAAGCGUGGGGGGAGCAAACAGGAUUAGAUACCCUGGUAGUCCACGCCGUAAACGAUGAGUGCUAAGUGUUAGGGGGUCUCCGCCCCCCCCCUUAGUGCUGCAGCUAACGCAUUAAGCACUCCGCCCUGGGGAGUACGGCCGCAAGGCUG
RNAcentral lists this ribosomal RNA (379 nucleotides) under uncultured organism. RNAcentral's name for it is "partial 16S ribosomal RNA". It matches the Rfam family "Bacterial small subunit ribosomal RNA", at positions 527 to 896 of the family's 1533-position model. The record is from RNAcentral.